Molecule: transfer RNA, 73 nt
Filed under: Pyrgilauda davidiana (Small snowfinch)
Lineage: Eukaryota; Metazoa; Chordata; Aves; Passeriformes; Passeridae
Description: tRNA-Trp
Rfam family: tRNA
About the family: Transfer RNA (tRNA) molecules are approximately 80 nucleotides in length. Their secondary structure includes four short double-helical elements and three loops (D, anti-codon, and T loops). Further hydrogen bonds mediate the characteristic L-shaped molecular structure. tRNAs have two regions of fundamental functional importance: the anti-codon, which is responsible for specific mRNA codon recognition, and the 3' end, to which the tRNAs corresponding amino acid is attached (by aminoacyl-tRNA synthetases). tRNAs cope with the degeneracy of the genetic code in two manners: having more than one tRNA (with a specific anti-codon) for a particular amino acid; and 'wobble' base-pairing, i.e. permitting non-standard base-pairing at the 3rd anti-codon position.
Source: RNAcentral
AGAAACUUAGGAUUACCUAAACCGAAGGCCUUCAAAGCCUUAAACAAGAGUGAAACUCUCUUAGUUUCUGCUA